UUUCCCUCCACAUGAAACACUGAUUCCAAAGACUUCAUCCACUCCAAGACUCAGGGCCCAAUUUUACCUUCUUUUAAAGCAAUUGAGACAAAACCUGGCUACAAUAAAGCAGAACAUACUCCAGUUACUUCUUUGGACAACAACCCUACAGAUACAUCUAAUUCAGAGAUUGCUCCUGCCUGGACUGAUGAUGAUUCUGGACCUCAAGGAAAGAAGAUUUCCCUAAAUCCUUCUGUUCGCCUGAAGGCAGAGAAACUGGAAAUGGCUCUCAAUUACCUCGGUAUUCAGCCAACAAAGGAACAACAUGAAGCCCUGAGACAGCAAGUCCAGGCUGACUCAAAGGGGACAGUGUCUUUUGGAGGUAAUGUCUUCAGUGCAUCAUGUUGUAUUAUCACAGACAGUUGGUGAAAGUUAUUGUGACCCAUUUUCAUUAAGAGAGCUUGUUCCUCAGAGGGAGAAUGAAAACUCACACCAUGCUACUUGCAAAUUCCUUAACAGGUACUUUAAAAACAGCUAUUGAUACUAACCUGGCUGGAUCAGCAAAAGAGAGACCUGUAUCAGGACCCAUUAGCUCUAGAUAUCAUUAGUCUAUCACG
Long non-coding RNA from Peromyscus leucopus (white-footed mouse), 596 nucleotides. RefSeq lists it as uncharacterized. Lineage: Eukaryota; Metazoa; Chordata; Mammalia; Rodentia; Cricetidae. The transcript has 4 exons. The record is from RefSeq and is a predicted model, not a curated record.